AUUGAACGCUGGCGGCAGGCCUAACACAUGCAAGUCGAACGGUAACAGGAAGAAGCUUGCUUCUUUGCUGACGAGUGGCUGACGGUUGGGUCAUUUCUGGGAAACUGCCUGAUGGAGGGGGAUAUCUUCUGGAAACGGUACCUAAUACCGCAUAACUUCGCAAGACCAAUGAGGGGGACCUUCGGGCCUCUUGCCAUCGGAUAUGCCCAGAUCGGGUUAGCUAGUAGGUGGAGUACCGGCUCACCUAGGCGACGAGCCUUAGCUGGUCUGAGAGGAUGACCAGCCACACUGGAACUGAGAAACGGUACAGACACCUACGGGAGGAAGCAGUCGGGAAUAUUGCGCAAUGGGCGAGAGCCUGAUGCAGCAAUGCCGGGUGUAGGAAGAAGGAGUUCGGGUGGGAAAGUACUUUCAGCGGGGAGGACGGGAGUAAAGUUAAUAACUGUGCUCAUUGACGUUACCCGCAGAAGAAGCACCGGCUAACUCCGUG
RNAcentral lists this ribosomal RNA (490 nucleotides) under uncultured bacterium. Its description in RNAcentral is "partial 16S ribosomal RNA". It matches the Rfam family "Bacterial small subunit ribosomal RNA", at positions 30 to 507 of the family's 1533-position model. The record is from RNAcentral.